CCUAAUACAUGCAAGUAGAACGCUGAAGACUGGUGCUUGCACUAGUCAGAUGAGUUGCGAACGGGUGAGUAACGCGUAGGUAACCUACCUCAUAGCGGGGGAUAACUAUUGGAAACGAUAGCUAAUACCGCAUGACAAUUAAGUACUCAUGUACUAAAUUUAAAAGGAGCAAUUGCUUCACUAUGAGAUGGACCUGCGUUGUAUUAGCUAGUUGGUGAGGUAACGGCUCACCAAGGCUACGAUGCAUAGCCGACCUGAGAGGGUGAUCGGCCACACUGGGACUGAGACACGGCCCAGACUCCUACGGGAGGCAGCAGUAGGGAAUCUUCGGCAAUGGGGGCAACCCUGACCGAGCAACGCCGCGUGAGUGAAGAAGGUUUUCGGAUCGUAAAGCUCUGUUGUUAGAGAAGAACGGUAAUGGGAGUGGAAAAUCCAUUACGUGACGGUAACUAACCAGAAAGGGACGGCUAACUACGUGCCAGCAGCCGCGGUAAUACGUAGGUCUCGAGCGUUGUCCGGAUUUAUUGGGCGUAAAGCGAGCGCAGGCGGUUAUUUAAGUCUGAAGUUAAAGGCCGUGGCUCAACCAUGGUUCGCUUUGGAAACUGGAUAACUUGAGUGCAGAAGGGGAGAGUGGAAUUCCAUGUGUAGCGGUGAAAUGCGUAGAUAUAUGGAGGAACACCGGUGGCGAAAGCGGCUCUCUGGUCUGUAACUGACGCUGAGGCUCGAAAGCGUGGGGAGCAAACAGGAUUAGAUACCCUGGUAGUCCACGCCGUAAACGAUGAGUGCUAGGUGUUAGGCCCUUUCCGGGGCUUAGUGCCGCAGCUAACGCAUUAAGCACUCCGCCUGGGGAGUACGACCGCAAGGUUGAAACUCAAAUGAAUUGACGG
Molecule: ribosomal RNA, 887 nt
Filed under: uncultured Streptococcus sp.
Lineage: Bacteria; Bacillati; Bacillota; Bacilli; Lactobacillales; Streptococcaceae
Description: bacterial SSU rRNA
Rfam family: Bacterial small subunit ribosomal RNA
Source: RNAcentral